UACGGAGGGUGCGAGCAUCAAUCGGAUUUAUUGGGCGUAAAGGGCGCGUAGGCGGAAAUGAAAGUCAGAUGUGAAAUCCCGGGGCUCAACCCCGGAACAGCAUAUGAAACUCCAUAUCUAGAGGGUAGGCGGAGAAAACGGAAUUCCACAAGUAGCGGUGAAAUGCGUAGAUAUGUGGAAGAACACCGGUGGCGAAGGCGGUUUUCUAGCUUAAACCUGACGCUGAGGCGCGAAAGCAAGGGGAUCAAACAGG
RNAcentral lists this ribosomal RNA (253 nucleotides) under uncultured bacterium. RNAcentral describes it as "partial 16S ribosomal RNA". It matches the Rfam family "Bacterial small subunit ribosomal RNA", at positions 524 to 776 of the family's 1533-position model. The record is from RNAcentral.